CUCUCAAUCGAGAGAACUUUAUCUCUUUUAUCUCCAUCUCCCUCCCUCUCACCGCUCAACUCUUUCACAGAGGAAAUAAUGGACGAUGGGUUUUUUCUCUGUAACUGUUAGUCAAUGGACAUCGAGUCUGCUCAUUGAAUUCCUCUGUUACCUCUUCCAUUAUUUUCUCUCAAUCGACCUCCGUCGUUUUCUUUACAAUGUCUCCAGAUCUGGAAGGUGGAGUAGAAGUCAAUACCCUCUAACAAAUAAUCGAUUUCAAUGUCUGUGCUUUCAGUUAUAAAAUCCUACUCGAGAUUACUUGGGGUUGCGGGUUACUUCAGCCGGUUCCUAUUGUGAUUCCUGGUGAUGAUGGUGUGGUGGUGGUGAUGGAUUACAAGAUGUCUCAGUUUGGUCGUUAAAUUGGUUGUCUUUUUUCUUUUGAGGUGGCAUCUGAAUUGGAGAUAUAGAAGUUAACAUACAUGGUUUAGGUGAUGCUGGAGAAAGAAUUUCAUUGUUUGAGUUUGGGUGGUGAUUUGAAGUGUUCUUUUGAAAUGGGUAUCAUUGAUCUUUGGUUUAACAAGAGUUUAAAUCAAAAGAAUUUGUACGGACCUUCUUCAUAAGAUGAACCAAUUUGUUUACUGCAAGAGCAUAAUCGACCUGCUUAUGAUGUCAAAAGCCUUUGGUAAUUGAGAUGGUUCUUCACUGUUGAGGGUUGUUCUGUGUAGAGGUAGUGUGGCUGAAGCUCGAUCUCACAACGGAGCACAUAACUCGUGGAACUGCAGGGUUGUUCUGUCUCUUUUCGCAAACUUUAAGAUUUCCAGGAUGUUUCUGACCUCCAAUUUCCCAUGGCUAGAAAUCAAAUUGAAGGAAGACUGCAAACUAAAGUGACGUCCAUAAAGGUGUUUGUUCACAUAUGCAAUGGCUCAAUGUAAAUGCCUAAAGAAGGGCAUGCACUGAUUAACCGUAAGGAGUGAACAAAGCUUUCCCUGUUUGAGGCAGUGGGUACCAACAAUUCAUCAUUUAGCCGCUAUGUUCGAUGCUGCUCACGGUGAACUCGAACGAUUCAAAAAAUGUGCAGAAGCACUAGACCGUUUAAUUGGAGAUGGAAUAGCAGAAACAGUUAAGAACACUAAAUCUGAUGACGGUAAACGUGUGUUCUUGCUUUUCAAUUUUAUGCUUGAUUUUGUUUAUUUCUGAUUUUGGGUCUGGGGAGGGGUAGUUGAUUUUCAAAUUGUUGUGCUUCGGUUGCUUUGUUUGUCAUGUUUACGGGGUUUUUUAGAAUGGUUAGUAUAAAUUUACGACUUUAGGUUGGAUAAUCUUCAUGAAUGUUUCUUUUUCUUGAGGGAUUUUUGAAAUUGGAUACUAGGCGAAGACAUUGAUUCCUGAGUGGGUAAUUGUAAAUUGUUGGUACGAGUAGUCCACAUGAGGGUGUGACCAAAUUUCUUGAUUAUGAAAGUUCUAUACCAAUAGAGUUUGAAGAUGAUAAGCUUAAAAGUGGGGAAAAUUUUAGUAAAUCGUUCCAACUGAUGAAUGUUAACAUUUGUGCGAUGAAAAUGAGAUGGGUGUUUUAGAUUAAGUAUUAGGUCUACGAUUACCACAUGGCUAAGUGGGUUAAUAUACUUCAGCGGUAAGAUGUUGGCUAAGUGAGUAUAUGACCAUAUCCUGCGAUGUUGGCUAAGUAGUAUUAAUUGAUGGUAAAGUUGAUAUCCUAAAAAAUUGGCAAGUGCGAAUGUAUGUUUAUAUACUCUGUGGUGAUGUGUUUUGCAAGUGUAACUCCCUUAUCCUGGGAAUCCAUAGAAGGGCGCUUGGCUGCUGUGGAAUAUCUUCUUGAAAUGGGUGCUAAUCCUAAAAUUCCAGACGAGUUAAAUUGUACUGCUUUGCAUCACGCCGCUAUGAAAGGACAUAAAGAUGACAUACCCUUGUUAUUUUCAAAAGGUAUUAAUGUGGAUGUUACGAGUGAACUUGGCUAACCGUUGCAAUAUGCUUCUAGUUUGGACCUACACGAUACUGUUAAAGUUCUUUUGGAUCAUGGUGCCAAUGUGAGUAUCCAAUACCCGUUAA
This is a long non-coding RNA of Papaver somniferum (opium poppy), 2040 nucleotides long. RefSeq lists it as uncharacterized. NCBI's taxonomy places the organism in Eukaryota, Viridiplantae, Streptophyta, Magnoliopsida, Ranunculales, Papaveraceae. The record is from RefSeq and is a predicted model, not a curated record. The transcript is spliced from 12 exons.